CACGUUUUCCGCGCCGUAGCUAACGCAUUAAGUGCCCCGCCUGGGGAGUACGGCCGCAAGGCUAAAACUCAAAGGAAUUGACGGGGGCCCGCACAAGCGGCGGAGCAUGCGGAUUAAUUCGAUGCAACGCGAAGAACCUUACCAAGGCUUGACAUGGACCGGACCGCCGCAGAAAUGUGGUUUCCCCUUUGGGGCCGGUUCACAGGUGGUGCAUGGUUGUCGUCAGCUCGUGUCGUGAGAUGUUGGGUUAAGUCCCGCAACGAGCGCAACCCUCGUUCCAUGUUGCCAGCGCGUAAUGGCGGGGACUCAUGGGAGACUGCCGGGG
Molecule: ribosomal RNA, 325 nt
Filed under: Arthrobacter sp.
Lineage: Bacteria; Bacillati; Actinomycetota; Actinomycetes; Micrococcales; Micrococcaceae
Description: bacterial SSU rRNA
Rfam family: Bacterial small subunit ribosomal RNA
Source: RNAcentral